Hemicordylus capensis (graceful crag lizard) is the source of this 669-nucleotide long non-coding RNA. RefSeq lists it as uncharacterized. The record is from RefSeq and is a predicted model, not a curated record. The transcript has 5 exons. NCBI's taxonomy places the organism in Eukaryota, Metazoa, Chordata, Lepidosauria, Squamata, Cordylidae.
GCUGCUAAUUGUUCAGCUUCUCUUUUAGGAUUGGCUCCUGUUCCUAUCCAUAAUAUAAUUAAAACAAACGAGGGAAAGGUCCUCCCCUUUCACAUCGACAGAGCUUGGGUGUUUUUCCUUGCCUGAAAUCAGUUGUGCCUUCCUUGCCAAUCCAGUUGGGUUUGUUUGGAAUGUAGUCCCCCUGAUAUACAAUCAAGUAUUCAGGCAUUCAUCGGCUUUAAGGUCAGUCACUUCUACUUAACUGUCUUGUGGAUCGUGCAGGAAGGAAGGAAGGCCCUUGUGUGAUGACUGCAUUGCUUCCAGUAUGGGUGCUGUGUCACCAAGGCCUCCGUUCCUCUCUGGUCUAGUGUUGGAACAUCAGGAUUGUUAAAGAAUCGCUGGAAAUCUUCCUGAGAGGAAUCAAUUUGUGCCUGGUUUCUUUCUGAGAGAGGAUAAAAUACAUCAUUAAAUUCUUCUCCUACAAACCUGGGAUGUGGAUAGAUCAUGUCAAUUAGAGCAGAAAAAACUUCAUGAAAGAGGUCCAGAGUCCCUAUUAGGUGCAUAUAUAUUUACUAAUAUCAUAGGUUGCCCUGCCAGUUCCAGAUGUUUUCAAAAUCUGGAAUAAUAUUUCUGUGCCAGUUACACAAUCUGAUCUAUUAAAAUCUGAUUUUGGCCAUUACUAUGGACAAA